RNAcentral lists this unclassified non-coding RNA (236 nucleotides) under Hevea brasiliensis (rubber tree). The record is from RNAcentral. Lineage: Eukaryota; Viridiplantae; Streptophyta; Magnoliopsida; Malpighiales; Euphorbiaceae.
GACACAACAAUGUCAGUUAGCUGCUCUGACAAGAUCACUCGUUGGAAUGUUCUUGGAGUUCAAGGAUCUCUGCUUUCCUACUUUCUUCAACCUGUUUAUCUUUCUACGAUCACUGUUGGACAGUCGCCUAGCGUUUUUCAACAUAUUCCAUUGGAGAACCACUUGCAAAGAUCUUUGUAUGAUCGAAUCUUACCAUUGUCAAAUAAUUUGACUGUUCCCUUUCAAAUAAACAAGCC